GACGAACGCUGGCGGCGUGCCUAAUACAUGCAAGUUGAGCGCUGAAGCGUGGUACUUGUACCUACUGCAUGAGCAGCGGACGGGUGAGUAACGCGUGGAGAAUCUGCCUUUGAGCGUGGGAUAACAUCUGGAAACGAAUGCUAAUACCGCAUAAUAACUUUAAACACAAGGUUUAAUUUUGAAAGAUGCAUUUGCAUCACUCAAUGGUUAUCCCGCGCUGUAUUAGCUUGUUGGUAAGGUAAAGGCUUACCAAGGCAAUGAUGCGUAGCCGACCUGAGAGGGUGAUCGGCCACACUGGAACUGAGACACGGUCCAGACUCCUACGGGAGGCAGCAGUAGGGAAUCUUCCGCAAUGGGCGAAAGCCUGACGGAGCAACGCCGCGUGAGUGAUGAAGGUCUUCGGAUCGUAAAACUCUGUUAUUAGGGAAGAACAAAUGUGUAAGUAACUAUGCACGUCUUGACGGUACCUAAUCAGAAAGCCACGGCUAACUACGUG
RNAcentral lists this ribosomal RNA (496 nucleotides) under uncultured bacterium. RNAcentral describes it as "partial 16S ribosomal RNA". It matches the Rfam family "Bacterial small subunit ribosomal RNA", at positions 28 to 507 of the family's 1533-position model. The record is from RNAcentral.